RNAcentral lists this transfer RNA (77 nucleotides) under Camelus bactrianus (Bactrian camel). It matches the Rfam family "tRNA". Rfam says of the family: Transfer RNA (tRNA) molecules are approximately 80 nucleotides in length. Their secondary structure includes four short double-helical elements and three loops (D, anti-codon, and T loops). RNAcentral also lists the same sequence under 1 other name. Lineage: Eukaryota; Metazoa; Chordata; Mammalia; Artiodactyla; Camelidae. The record is from Rfam by way of RNAcentral.
GAGGGUAGAGCUCAGAGGUAGAGCAUAUGCCAUGCUUAGCAUGCAUGAAGUCCUGGGUUCAAUCCCUAGCACCUCCA